This is a non-coding RNA of Cronartium quercuum f. sp. fusiforme G11, 94 nucleotides long. NCBI's taxonomy places the organism in Eukaryota, Fungi, Basidiomycota, Pucciniomycetes, Pucciniales, Coleosporiaceae. The record is from the annotation of a GenBank genome assembly.
GGUCGAUUAACUCAGUUGGUUAGAGUGCCGCACUAAUAUGCCGUGCGGCGAGAAAGGUAUGCGGAUGUCAUGGGUUCGACCCCCAUAUUGACCA